Molecule: ribosomal RNA, 332 nt
Filed under: uncultured bacterium
Lineage: Bacteria
Description: bacterial SSU rRNA
Rfam family: Bacterial small subunit ribosomal RNA
Source: RNAcentral
CGUGUAGGCGGGAAUGUAAGUCAGAUGUGAAAUGCCGAGGCUUAACUUCGGAGCUGCAUCUGAAACUGCGUUUCUUGAGUGUCGGAGAGGAAAGUGGGAUUCCCAGUGUAGCGGUGAAAUGCGUAGAUAUUGGGAGGAACACCAGUGGCGAAGGCGACUUUCUGGACGAUAACUGACGCUGAGGCGCGAAAGCGUGGGGAGCAAACAGGAUUAGAUACCCUGGUAGUCCACGCCGUAAACGAUGGAUACUAGGUGUAGGAGGUAUCGACCCCUUCUGUGCCGGAGUUAACACAAUAAGUAUCCCACCUGGGGAGUACGGCCGCAAGGUUGAA